Molecule: ribosomal RNA, 253 nt
Filed under: uncultured bacterium
Lineage: Bacteria
Description: partial 16S ribosomal RNA
Rfam family: Bacterial small subunit ribosomal RNA
Source: RNAcentral
GACGUAGGGCGCGAGCGUUGUCCGGAUUUAUUGGGCGUAAAGAGCUCGUAGGCGGCUUGUCGCGUCGAAUGUGAAAUCCUGCGGCUCAACCGCAGGCUUGCAUUCGAUACGGGCAGGCUCGAGUUCGGUAGGGGAGACUGGAAUUCCUGGUGUAGCGGUGAAAUGCGCAGAUAUCAGGAGGAACACCGGUGGCGAAGGCGGGUCUCUGGGCCGAUACUGACGCUGAGGAGCGAAAGCGUGGGGAGCGAACAGG